GGGGAUGUAGCUCAAUUGGGAGAGCGCGGCCCCUGCAAGGCCGAGGUUGGCGGUUCGAUCCCGCUCAUCUCCACCA
This 76-nucleotide transfer RNA is filed under the name Candidatus Brocadiia bacterium. RNAcentral describes it as "tRNA-Ala". It matches the Rfam family "tRNA". Rfam says of the family: Transfer RNA (tRNA) molecules are approximately 80 nucleotides in length. Their secondary structure includes four short double-helical elements and three loops (D, anti-codon, and T loops). Further hydrogen bonds mediate the characteristic L-shaped molecular structure. tRNAs have two regions of fundamental functional importance: the anti-codon, which is responsible for specific mRNA codon recognition, and the 3' end, to which the tRNAs corresponding amino acid is attached (by aminoacyl-tRNA synthetases). tRNAs cope with the degeneracy of the genetic code in two manners: having more than one tRNA (with a specific anti-codon) for a particular amino acid; and 'wobble' base-pairing, i.e. permitting non-standard base-pairing at the 3rd anti-codon position. The record is from RNAcentral. Lineage: Bacteria; Pseudomonadati; Planctomycetota; Candidatus Brocadiia. RNAcentral also lists the same sequence under 1 other name.